Molecule: long non-coding RNA, 1756 nt
Organism: Lutra lutra (Eurasian river otter)
Lineage: Eukaryota; Metazoa; Chordata; Mammalia; Carnivora; Mustelidae
Exons: 3
Source: RefSeq, a predicted model, not a curated record
CACACCUACAACCUGUCCCCGGGGUGCGUGUACCCAGACCCCAGGCUUGGUUUAAAGUUCUGCUAGCCACCUCUUGGAGUUCUUAAUAUGUUUUGAACAAGUAACACCGCAAUUUUAUUUGGCACCGGGCUCUGCAAAGUCUGCAGCCUGCCUUGCCCGCCGCCCCCUUCAGCCUGGCUCCUGCUACAUUAAUUUUGUCAUAAAUUCUUCAAGGGUGAGGUGUGUCCAAAGGAAACAGCCUUGGAGAAGCUGAAGGAGUCACAGCUACUGGAGGAACGGGAAUUGGCCGAGUCCCGGGACCCGAGGAGCAGGAGGACCAUUGGUGCCGCAGUCUAGCCCGCUGUCUCGCAUUCUCUCCCCGGACCUCGCUCUGCCCUGGCAGCGUCCACCCCCGGCAGGGACAAAAACAAAGCACAAAGAGCGACCUGAAGUGUCUCCUUAUCGGAAGCCUGAUACGAGACUGGAAUGUCGGCCAGAGCCAAGGAAUUUGACAAAAGGAGCUUUAUGUGGGACAGGACAGUGCCUUCAUCCUGUUCCGGGGCUGGGUCGGGUCUCGGGGGCUCUGCUCCGCGGAAACCCCUCUCCGGGCCUGCUCCACGUGCCGGGUCCAGAGCUAGUGUGCCCCUCGGCCAGGUGCUUGGGGGCAGGGAGCGGAGUGUCGUGGUCAGGGAGGCAGGUCCCGGGGUCCCAUGGGCCUGAGGUCGAAGCCACCAAUGCCAAGUUACACCGGCCACAGCCGGGGAUUUCGUACCUCCAAAACUCCCCGUCUGUCGUGACGCAUCGUAACGGGAACUUUUUAAAGGUAGCUCUGAGAAUUAGGAGAGGGGAUACAGGUAAGAGCAGUGAGUAUAGCGCCCAGAAAAGGGGAAGAAAGACAGAAGGAAGGAAGGAAGGAGGGAAGGACGGAGGAGGGGAGGGACCCCAUCUGAAGCAAGCUUACCCGAAGGAAGCAGCAGUUACCUGGCUGUUCUGUGGCUAAAAUGUCCCCAAGCCUAUCCCCUGACAUUCUGUGUCCCCCUCUGUCCAAAGUGGCCUGGAUGCCUCACACAUGUCACCUGGCUUCGAGGUGGGAUUUGAGAGAGUUGUCUGAUUCUUGAACUCUUCUCGCCGUGCUCCCUAGUGAUGACCGCUGGCCGCCACCGGCACGUUGAAGGGAGCACUGGGACUGGGAAUGGGCCAUCCCAGGGCUGGGGGAUGGAGAGCUACAAACCCCAAAGCUUUGGUCCAUGCCCAACCCUCUCUCCCCCAGCCAGAGCCCCCAGGCACCCGUGCUCGCUUCGGACACCCCGUCAUUGGAUGCAGCCAAGCGAGCAGAUCGUUGACAGGAAGGCCACUUCCGCAGAAGACCUGGAGGGCCCCCCUCGCUGUCCCUGGGAGAUGGAGGGGAUGACUGCUCUCAGCUGUCCCCCUCACCGGUACCCUGCGGGCAGUUGGGAGGUGGGUGGGGCCUGGUAGAUUCCUUCCAGCAGCUCAACAGAAAGGAUCUGAUAAGGUUUAAAUAGCACCUUCUCCCUCCUCUCCUUGGGGAGCUCCAAGGAUGACCUCACCCUGCCACUACCUACGAGCCAAGAAAACAGGGCUGGGCCUCCCAUUCUAGAAGGGGAAAGGGAAUCCCUAUAGGGGAGCAAAUAGGACCAGCCUAUCAGCCCCUCCCAGGCACGACUGGUCAUCCUGGCUUCCUGGGUGCUGAUGGCUAAGCACUCGUCAGACACCUUCUGGAUGAAAUACGAUUUGCUUUGGGAUAGGUACCGGAUAA